AACGCGAAGAACCUUACCAAGGUUUGACAUGGCCGGAAAACUCGCAGAGAUGCGGGGUCCUUCGGGGCCGGUCACAGGUGGUGCAUGGCUGUCGUCAGCUCGUGUCGUGAGAUGUUGGGUUAAGUCCCGCAACGAGCGCAACCCUCGUCCCAUGUUGCCAGCGGGUAAUGCCGGGGACUCAUGGGAGACUGCCGGGGUCAACUCGGAGGAAGGUGGGGAUGACGUCAAGUCAUCAUGCCCCUUAUGUCUUGGGCUGCAAACAUGCUACAAUGGCCGGUACAGAGCGCUGCGAGCCCGUGAGGGUGAGCGAAUCGCGGAAAGCCGGUCUCAGUUCGGAUCGGGGUCUGCAACUCGGCCCCGUGAAGCCGGAGUCGCUAGUAAUCGCGGAUCAGCAACGCCGCGGUGAAUACGUUCCCGGGCCUUGUACACACCGUAGUAC
RNAcentral lists this ribosomal RNA (439 nucleotides) under uncultured bacterium. Its description in RNAcentral is "bacterial SSU rRNA". It matches the Rfam family "Bacterial small subunit ribosomal RNA", at positions 958 to 1398 of the family's 1533-position model. The record is from RNAcentral.